Molecule: ribosomal RNA, 252 nt
Filed under: uncultured bacterium
Lineage: Bacteria
Description: partial 16S ribosomal RNA
Rfam family: Bacterial small subunit ribosomal RNA
Source: RNAcentral
UACGAAGGGUGCAAGCGUUAAUCGGAAUUACUGGCGUAAAGCGCGCGUAGGUGGUUCAGUAAGUUGGAAGUGAAAUCCCCGGGCUCAACCUGGGAACUGCUUUCAAAACUGCUGAGCUAGAGUACGGUAGAGGGUGGUGGAAUUUCCUGUGUAGCGGUGAAAUGCGUAGAUAUAGGAAGGAACACCAGUGGCGAAGGCGACCACCUGGACUGAUACUGACACUGAGGUGCGAAAGCGUGGGGAGCAAACAGG